UGCUGCUUCUCUUGAGCCAUUCUAGGUCUCACUCACUUGCAAGAGAGACUGGUUCAGGAAUUUAUCAGGGAUAGCC
Molecule: microRNA precursor, 76 nt
Filed under: Sus scrofa (pig)
Lineage: Eukaryota; Metazoa; Chordata; Mammalia; Artiodactyla; Suidae
Description: mir-1200 microRNA precursor family
Rfam family: mir-1200 microRNA precursor family
Source: Rfam by way of RNAcentral